RNAcentral lists this ribosomal RNA (478 nucleotides) under uncultured bacterium. RNAcentral describes it as "partial 16S ribosomal RNA". It matches the Rfam family "Bacterial small subunit ribosomal RNA", at positions 28 to 523 of the family's 1533-position model. The record is from RNAcentral.
GACGAACGCUGGCGGCGUGCUUAACACAUGCAAGUCGAACGGUAAGGCCCUUCGGGGUACACGAGUGGCGAACGGGUGAGUAACACGUGGGUGAUCUGCCCUGCACUUCGGGAUAAGCCUGGGAAACUGGGUCUAAUACCGGAUAGGACCACUGCCUGCAUGGGUGGUGGUGGAAAGCUUUUGCGGUGUGGGGAUGGGCCGCGGCCUAUCAGCUUGUUGGUGAGGUGAUGGCCUACCAAGGCGACGACGGGUAGCCGGCCUGAGAGGGUGACCGGCCACACUGGGACUGAGAGACGGCCCAGAGUCCUACGGGAGGCAGCAGUGGGGAAUAUUGCACAAUGGGCGCAAGCCUGAUGCAGCGACGCCGCGUGAGGGAUGACGGCCUUCGGGUUGUAAACCUCUUUCAGCACCGACGAAGCGCAAGUGACGGUAGGUGCAGAAGAAGGACCGGCCAACUACGUGCCAGCCGCCGCCGUAA